CCUACGGGUGGCUGCAGUGGGGAAUAUUGCACAAUGGGGGAAACCCUGAUGCAGCGACGCCGCGUGAGUGAAGAAGUAUUUCGGUAUGUAAAGCUCUGUCAGCAGGGAAGUAAAUGACGGUACGUGACCAAGAAGCCACGGCUAACUACGUUCCAGCAGCCGCGGUACUACGUAGGGGGCACGCGUUAUCCGGAUUUACUGGGUGUAAAGGGAGCGUAGACGGCAGGGCAAGUCUGGAGUGAAAGGCGGGGGCUCAACCCCCGGACUGCACUGGAAACUGUCAGGCUGGAGUGCAGGAGAGGUAAGUGGAAUUCCUGGUGUAGCGGUGAAAUGCGUAGAUAUCAGGAGGAACACCGGUGGCGAAGGCAGCUUACUGGACUGUAACUGACGUUGAGGCUCGAAAGCGUGGGGAGCAAACAGGAUUAGAUACCCCUGUAGUC
Molecule: ribosomal RNA, 440 nt
Filed under: uncultured bacterium
Lineage: Bacteria
Description: partial 16S ribosomal RNA
Rfam family: Bacterial small subunit ribosomal RNA
Source: RNAcentral